GCUACUGUAGCUCAUCUGGCAGAGCAGCACAUUCGUAACGUGCAGGUAGUGGGUUCGAGUCCCACCAGUAGCUCCA
RNAcentral lists this transfer RNA (76 nucleotides) under Clostridium aminobutyricum. Its description in RNAcentral is "tRNA-Thr". It matches the Rfam family "tRNA". From Rfam's summary of the family: Transfer RNA (tRNA) molecules are approximately 80 nucleotides in length. The record is from RNAcentral. Lineage: Bacteria; Bacillati; Bacillota; Clostridia; Eubacteriales; Clostridiaceae.